RNAcentral lists this ribosomal RNA (433 nucleotides) under uncultured bacterium. RNAcentral describes it as "partial 16S ribosomal RNA". It matches the Rfam family "Bacterial small subunit ribosomal RNA", at positions 29 to 507 of the family's 1533-position model. The record is from RNAcentral.
AACGAACGCUGGCGGCAUGCCUAACACAUGCAAGUCGAACGAGACCUUCGGGUCUAGUGGCGCACGGGUGCGUAACGCGUGGGAACCUGCCCUUAGGUUCGGAAUAACUCACCGAAAGGGGUGCUAAUACCGGAUAAUGUCUUCGGACCAAAGAUUUAUCGCCUUUGGAUGGGCCCGCGUUGGAUUAGCUAGUUGGUAGGGUAAAAGCCUACCAAGGCGACGAUCCAUAGCUGGUCUGAGAGGAUGAUCAGCCACACUGGGACUGAGACACGGCCCAGACUCCUACGGGAAGCAGCAGUGGGGAAUAUUGGACAAUGGGCGAAAGCCUGAUCCAGCAAUGCCGCGUGAGUGAUGAAGGCCUUAGGGUUGUAAAGCUCUUUUACCCGGGAUGAUAAUGACAGUACCGGGAGAAUAAGCUCCGGCUAACUCCGUG